Molecule: ribosomal RNA, 253 nt
Filed under: uncultured bacterium
Lineage: Bacteria
Description: partial 16S ribosomal RNA
Rfam family: Bacterial small subunit ribosomal RNA
Source: RNAcentral
UACGUAGGGGGCAAGCGUUGUCCGGAUUUAUUGGGCGUAAAGAGCGUGUAGGCGGCUAGGUAGGUCCGUUGUGAAAACUCGAGGCUCAACCUCGAGACGUCGAUGGAAACCAUCUAGCUAGAGUCCGGAAGAGGAGAGUGGAAUUCCUGGUGUAGCGGUGAAAUGCGCAGAUAUCAGGAGGAACACCAAUUGCGAAGGCAGCUCGCUGGGACGUUACUGACGCUGAGACGCGAAAGCGUGGGGAGCAAACAGG